Molecule: ribosomal RNA, 532 nt
Filed under: uncultured Chloroflexota bacterium
Lineage: Bacteria; Bacillati; Chloroflexota
Description: bacterial SSU rRNA
Rfam family: Bacterial small subunit ribosomal RNA
Source: RNAcentral
AAACCCUGACGAAGCAACGCCGCGUGGAGGAUGAAGGCCUUCGGGUCGUAAACUCCUGUCGACCGGGACGAAAGCAGUCUGACCCAAGUACGUCGGGCUGUUGACUGUACCGGUGGAGGAAGCCCCGGCUAACUCCGUGCCAGCAGCCGCGGUAAGACGGAGGGGGCAAGCGUUGUCCGGACUCACUGGGCGUAAAGCGCGUGCCGGCGGUUGGGUGCGUCGGUGCUGAAAGCGCCCCGCUUAACGGGGCGAGGCGUGCCGAUACGACCUGACUUGAGGCAGGCAGAGGGUGGCGGAAGUCCGGGUGUAGUGGUGAAAUGCGUAGAGAUCCGGAGGAACGCCAGUGGCGCAAGCGGCCACCUGGGCCUGACCUGACGCUAGAACGCGACAGCGUGGGGAGCAAACCGGAUUAGAUACCCGGGUAGUCCACGCCGUAAACGAUGUCGGCUCGGUGGGUAGUUCCUGUUUAGGGAACCGCCUGCCUUAGCUCACGCGGUAAGCCGACCGCCUGGGGACUACGAGCGCAAGCUUA